AAAAGUAACACUUUAUAAUUGGAAAAUUAUUAUUUAAGAAAGUUUCAUCAUAUAAAGGCAUUACUAAUGUAUGGGGGUCAAUUAACUUAAAAUGGAUUUCAGCAAGGAAAUGACAUAAUGCACAAUUAUACCCACAUGUCUCUAAAGUUUUAUAAUCUUCUAAAUUUCCAGACUGAAGAUCUUUCCUUUCGUGAAACUUGUAUCAGGGAAACUAAACUGCAAGAAACAAGGAAAGAACAAUAUAAACAAUAUAAUCAUACAAUGAAGAUUAACAACAAGCGUUUUGUUAAUCAAAUCUCUCAAAAUGUACCAAAAUCAAUAAAAUUUCUAUGAAAAAUUACGAGUUGAUCGUUUGAAUUACUUUUGCAGAUGUUCCUAUAAACUUGCCAGCAUCUUCGAACAAUCCAAAACCUCAUUCUGACUCCGAUCGAGAACCAUAGUCUUCAAUUUUUCUCUCCUGCACGUCGUGAAUACAUUCUCCCCGGAUUGCAAUUACAUGCGCAUUCAUGUGUGACAAUCCGUACAGUGCUAAUUGUUUCGAACCACAAAAGAAACGCGAGAAGCUGUUCUUGCAUACCUCCACGUUGAACAGCGAGCGUCGGAUUCUAGGUGACGCCUAUGGUACCACCACCAACACGUUGACGUCUCACACAUGUGGAAGACUGGUCUUGUAAGAGGAUGGACAUCUCUCGCCUACACGCCUAGCAGAUCCGUGCUCUCGGGUGUCGAGGAAAUUUGCAUCGGAUCGGAGUGUGUCUGCCUAGUAACUGGCCGGCUUCGUUGCAACGGACUUCGCCACGGCCGGAUGCGAGAAACGGUCCAUGCACUACCUUUCUCCGGAGUCUUCUUCUCGCGUUCGUUCGCAUCCACGAUACAGUGCCAUCCGUGCACGCGAUGCUAGUACCAGGGAUGAGAUCAAGUCUAACGUCUACUUAUGAGUCUGAGUCAAGUUUCGUUUCAUAACUUUCGACUGCUACUUGAAAGUGAAAAUAUUUCGAAAGUGUCUAUGACUGUCAACUUUAACCUGUAUAUUUAUUGUAGUUCAAUGUAAUGACUUCAAUCUGUAUAUCUGUUGCAGUUCAAUUUCAUAUCUGUCAACUUAAUAUCGUGGUUCAGUGUGCAUACAAUGUACACAUUUCAUCAUUCAUACGUUCAACGUAUGUUUAAUGUACAUUUAUAAUGUAUAGGUACUUGUAAUGUAUAUUUGAUGCUUCAAUUGCAACCCAAUGCAGGUGUACAAUGUGUACACUUCGUCAAGUUCAAUGUAUAUUUAAU
Molecule: long non-coding RNA, 1275 nt
Organism: Frieseomelitta varia
Lineage: Eukaryota; Metazoa; Arthropoda; Insecta; Hymenoptera; Apidae
Exons: 3
Source: RefSeq, a predicted model, not a curated record